This 253-nucleotide ribosomal RNA is filed under the name uncultured bacterium. Its description in RNAcentral is "partial 16S ribosomal RNA". It matches the Rfam family "Bacterial small subunit ribosomal RNA", at positions 524 to 776 of the family's 1533-position model. The record is from RNAcentral.
GACAGAGGGUGCAAACGUUGUUCGGAAUUACUGGGCGUAAAGCGAGUGUAGGCGGUUCGAUAAGUCGGAUGUGAAAGCCCCGGGCUCAACCCGGGAAGUGCACUCGAUACUGCCAAGCUAGAGUAUCGGAGAGGUUGGUGGAAUUCUCGGUGUAGAGGUGAAAUUCGUAGAUAUCGAGAGGAACACCGGUGGCGAAGGCGGCCAACUGGACGAAUACUGACGCUGAGACUCGAAAGCGUGGGGAGCAAACAGG